This 449-nucleotide ribosomal RNA is filed under the name uncultured bacterium. RNAcentral describes it as "partial 16S ribosomal RNA". It matches the Rfam family "Bacterial small subunit ribosomal RNA", at positions 29 to 523 of the family's 1533-position model. The record is from RNAcentral.
AACGAACGCUGGCGGCAUGCCUAACACAUGCAAGUCGAACGAGAUCUUCGGGUCUAGUGGCGCACGGGUGCGUAACGCGUGGGAAUCUGCCCUUUGGUUCGGAAUAACAGUUGGAAACGACUGCUAAUACCGGAUGAUGACGAAAGUCCAAAGAUUUAUCGCCAGAGGAUGAGCCCGCGUAGGAUUAGCUAGUUGGUGUGGUAAAGGCGCACCAAGGCGACGAUCCUUAGCUGGUCUGAGAGGAUGAUCAUCCACACUGGGACUGAGACACGGACCAGACUCCUACGGGAGGCAGCAGUGGUGAAUAUUGGACAAUGGGCGAAAGCCUGAUCCAGCAAUGCCGCGUGAGUGAUGAAGGGCUUAGGGUUGUAAAGCUCUUUUACCCGGGAUGAUAAUGACAGUACCGGGAGAAUAAGCUCCGGCUAACUCCGUGCCAGCCGCCGCGGUAA